RNAcentral lists this long non-coding RNA (320 nucleotides) under Selaginella moellendorffii. RNAcentral describes it as "long non-coding RNA (SMOE_LNC001684)". The record is from RNAcentral. Lineage: Eukaryota; Viridiplantae; Streptophyta; Lycopodiopsida; Selaginellales; Selaginellaceae.
AAAAGGUCUUGUUCGAUCCGGAGAUGAGAACAUCUGUGAAGCUGGCUAUGGCCCGGGGGAACCUUAAUGUGUAGGAACUGGUUUGGAGUAGGUGAGUUUUAUGCCAUGGCCGUUGGCAAACGCUAUAUCUGUCCCGUUUCUCCUUUACUCAUCCAAAACGAAGCAGUGGAAAAUAAGGAACUUUUCGAUCAGAUCAUUCACUUAAGGAGUUUAUGGAAACUUGGAUACCGGGGCAGUAUCACUAGAAAGUUGGCAAUGUACAAUCCAACCCUCGGUUCCACCAAGUUUGUCAAGCCUUUCAAACGGGAUUUUUGCCCGAG